CACCAAGAGAUUAAGUCAUAUAUAAAAGGUAAAAAGACAGUUAAAUAUAAAAAUAGAUUGCAUACAUUUUUGUAAAAAAGUAAAAUUUGAAUACAAAUUUCUAAUCUAAUAGUAAUUUAUCAUGUUGAAGCUGUGAAAGCCUUGAGGGAAACUGGGAUUAGAUACCCCAUUAUUCUUGGCCUUAAACUAAUGAAUAAACACACUUACCGGAGUACUAUGAAUACCUAAAAUUUAAAACUCAAAGGGCUUGGCGGUGUUUUAGACCACUUAGGGGAACCUGUCUCAUAAUCGAUAAUCCACGAUAAACCUGACCUUUUUUUGUACUCAGCUUGUAUACCGUUGUCGUCAGGUAACUUUUUAGAAAUUAGAAGUUAGCUAUAAGAAUUGUAAACUAAAACGUCAAAUCAAGGUGCAGUCUAUAAAAAGGAGAGGAUGGGUUACAAUUAUAAAAUUAUAAUACGGAAAGCCACUAGAAUUAAAAGCUUUGAAGGAGGACUUAAAAGUAAAAUAGACUAUACAAAUAUCUUGAAUGGGGCUCUGAGACGUGC
Molecule: ribosomal RNA, 548 nt
Filed under: Inquisitor sp. NP-2008
Lineage: Eukaryota; Metazoa; Mollusca; Gastropoda; Neogastropoda; Pseudomelatomidae
Description: partial 12S ribosomal RNA
Rfam family: Bacterial small subunit ribosomal RNA (bases 210-548)
Source: RNAcentral